RNAcentral lists this ribosomal RNA (1559 nucleotides) under Salmonella enterica subsp. enterica serovar Rostock. RNAcentral's name for it is "partial 23S ribosomal RNA". It matches the Rfam family "Bacterial large subunit ribosomal RNA", at positions 161 to 1757 of the family's 2925-position model. The record is from RNAcentral. RNAcentral also lists the same sequence under 2 other names. Lineage: Bacteria; Pseudomonadati; Pseudomonadota; Gammaproteobacteria; Enterobacterales; Enterobacteriaceae.
AAUCCAUAGGUUAAUGAGGCGAACCGGGGGAACUGAAACAUCUAAGUACCCCGAGGAAAAGAAAUCAACCGAGAUUCCCCCAGUAGCGGCGAGCGAACGGGGAGGAGCCCAGAGCCUGAAUCAGCAUGUGUGUUAGUGGAAGCGUCUGGAAAGGCGCGCGAUACAGGGUGACAGCCCCGUACACAAAAGCGCAUGUGCUGUGAGCUCGAUGAGUAGGGCGGGACACGUGGUAUCCUGUCUGAAUAUGGGGGGACCAUCCUCCAAGGCUAAAUACUCCUGACUGACCGAUAGUGAACCAGUACCGUGAGGGAAAGGCGAAAAGAACCCCGGCGAGGGGAGUGAAAAAGAACCUGAAACCGUGUACGUACAAGCAGUGGGAGCACAGGUUUACCUGUGUGACUGCGUACCUUUUGUAUAAUGGGUCAGCGACUUAUAUUCUGUAGCAAGGUUAACCGAAUAGGGGAGCCGGAGGGAAACCGAGUCUUAAUUGGGCGUUAAGUUGCAGGGUAUAGACCCGAAACCCGGUGAUCUAGCCAUGGGCAGGUUGAAGGUUGGGUAACACUAACUGGAGGACCGAACCGACUAAUGUUGAAAAAUUAGCGGAUGACCUGUGGCUGGGGGUGAAAGGCCAAUCAAACCGGGAGAUAGCUGGUUCUCCCCGAAAGCUAUUUAGGUAGCGCCUCGUGAAUUCAUCUCCGGGGGUAGAGCACUGUUUCGGCUAGGGGGCCAUCCCGGCUUACCAACCCGAUGCAAACUGCGAAUACCGGAGAAUGUUAUCACGGGAGACACACGGCGGGUGCUAACGUCCGUCGUGAAGAGGGAAACAACCCAGACCGCCAGCUAAGGUCCCAAAGUCAUGGUUAAGUGGGAAACGAUGUGGGAAGGCCCAGACAGCCAGGAUGUUGGCUUAGAAGCAGCCAUCAUUUAAAGAAAGCGUAAUAGCUCACUGGUCGAGUCGGCCUGCGCGGAAGAUGUAACGGGGCUAAACCAUGCACCGAAGCUGCGGCAGCGACGCUUAUGCGUUGUUGGGUAGGGGAGCGUUCUGUAAGCCUGUGAAGGUGGCCUGUGAGGGUUGCUGGAGGUAUCAGAAGUGCGAAUGCUGACAUAAGUAACGAUAAAGCGGGUGAAAAGCCCGCUCGCCGGAAGACCAAGGGUUCCUGUCCAACGUUAAUCGGGGCAGGGUGAGUCGACCCCUAAGGCGAGGCCGAAAGGCGUAGUCGAUGGGAAACGGGUUAAUAUUCCCGUACUUGGUGUUACUGCGAAGGGGGGACGGAGAAGGCUAUGUUGGCCGGGCGACGGUUGUCCCGGUUUAAGCGUGUAGGUGUGUGUUCCAGGUAAAUCCGGUUCACUUUAACACUGAGGCGUGAUGACGAGGCACUACGGUGCUGAAGUAACAAAUGCCCUGCUUCCAGGAAAAGCCUCUAAGCAUCAGGUAACAUCAAAUCGUACCCCAAACCGACACAGGUGGUCAGGUAGAGAAUACCAAGGCGCUUGAGAGAACUCGGGUGAAGGAACUAGGCAAAAUGGUGCCGUAACUUCGGGAGAAGGCACGCUGACAC